CCACUUUCAUAUUUUGAAGGUUAUAAAAUAUUUAAAAGGGUAAACUUCAAAUAUCAUUCACGUGGUUUCGCACUUUCUCACUUUAGUAUCCUGUGAUUUAAAGUGUAUAAAUUUAGUGCCCUGUGAUUUCAUUUUUCUCUUUUCAUCAGCAUCUCUGUUAAUAUUUCAUUAAAUUAAAUACAAAAAACUUCAGAUACUCCACCUAGGUUUAUUGAAUAUUCAUUUUAGUUCCUUUUAGUUUUAACUUUGUCACAAAUUAUAGAAAAAAAAAAUUAGUGGAAUUGAUAAUAAAAAGAAAAAAAUAAAAUAACAGGAUACUAAUUUGAUACACUUUAAACCACAUGGUACUAAAAUAGGAAAGAGCGAAACCACAGGGGUGGUAUUUUAACAGGGACGGUUUGUUUUUGUGCAUCUCGGAGGUUGAACUCGUGACUUCGAAUGAAAUACAUGCAUCAGCAUUUGUUUCGACACCGAAGUCGUGAGAUCAUUUAAAUUUUCACUCACAAUUGUAUACGGAUCGCCUUUUCCACUUCGGUGGGAUGGGGGGCGAAGUCGAGUUCGCAUAACUCACG
RNAcentral lists this long non-coding RNA (572 nucleotides) under Ananas comosus (pineapple). RNAcentral describes it as "long non-coding RNA (ACOM_LNC020273)". The record is from RNAcentral. Lineage: Eukaryota; Viridiplantae; Streptophyta; Magnoliopsida; Poales; Bromeliaceae.